This 504-nucleotide ribosomal RNA is filed under the name Escherichia coli. RNAcentral's name for it is "partial 23S ribosomal RNA". It matches the Rfam family "Bacterial large subunit ribosomal RNA", at positions 1 to 535 of the family's 2925-position model. RNAcentral also lists the same sequence under 1 other name. The record is from RNAcentral. Lineage: Bacteria; Pseudomonadati; Pseudomonadota; Gammaproteobacteria; Enterobacterales; Enterobacteriaceae.
GGGUUGUGAGGUUAAGCGACUAAGCGUACACGGUGGAUGCCCUGGCAGUCAGAGGCGAUGAAGGACGUGCUAAUCUGCGAUAAGCGUCGGUAAGGUGAUAUGAACCGUUAUAACCGGCGAUUUCCGAAUGGGGAAACCCAGUGUGAUUCGUCACACUAUCAUUAACUGAAUCCAUAGGUUAAUGAGGCGAACCGGGGGAACUGAAACAUCUAAGUACCCCGAGGAAAAGAAAUCAACCGAGAUUCCCCCAGUAGCGGCGAGCGAACGGGGAGCAGCCCAGAGCCUGAAUCAGUGUGUGUGUUAGUGGAAGCGUCUGGAAAGGCGCGCGAUACAGGGUGACAGCCCCGUACACAAAAAUGCACAUGCUGUGAGCUCGAUGAGUAGGGCGGGACACGUGGUAUCCUGUCUGAAUAUGGGGGGACCAUCCUCCAAGGCUAAAUACUCCUGACUGACCGAUAGUGAACCAGUACCGUGAGGGAAAGGCGAAAAGAACCCCGGCGAGGG